GACAAUAUAGUUUAAUAGUAAAUAAUGUUUUUGUAAAACAUAGUUGGGAUUAGUAAGGUUUAUAGUAUCG
This 70-nucleotide transfer RNA is filed under the name Trichobilharzia regenti. RNAcentral's name for it is "tRNA-Thr". The record is from RNAcentral. Lineage: Eukaryota; Metazoa; Platyhelminthes; Trematoda; Strigeidida; Schistosomatidae.